GACGAACGCUGGCGGCGUGCUUAACACAUGCAAGUCGAACGGAAAAGCCCUGCUUUUGUGGGGUGCUCGAGUGGCGAACGGGUGAGUAACACGUGAGUAACCUGCCCUUGACUUUGGGAUAACUUCAGGAAACUGGGGCUAAUACCGGAUAGGAGCUCCUGCUGCAUGGUGGGGGUUGGAAAGUUCGGCGGGUGGGGAUGGGCUCGCGGCUUAUCAGCUUGUUGGUGGGGUAGUGGCUUACCAAGGCUUUGACGGGUAGCCGGCCUGAGAGGGUGACCGGCCACAUUGGGACUGAGAUACGGCCCAGACUCCUACGGGAGGCAGCAGUGGGGAAUAUUGCACAAUGGGCGGAAGCCUGAUGCAGCAACGCCGCGUGCGGGAUGACGGCCUUCGGGUUGUAAACCGCUUUCGCCUGUGACGAAGCGUGAGUGACGGUAAUGGGUAAAGAAGCACCGGCUAACUACGUG
This 467-nucleotide ribosomal RNA is filed under the name uncultured bacterium. RNAcentral's name for it is "partial 16S ribosomal RNA". It matches the Rfam family "Bacterial small subunit ribosomal RNA", at positions 28 to 507 of the family's 1533-position model. The record is from RNAcentral.